Molecule: ribosomal RNA, 996 nt
Filed under: uncultured bacterium
Lineage: Bacteria
Description: bacterial SSU rRNA
Rfam family: Bacterial small subunit ribosomal RNA
Source: RNAcentral
GGGGGAUAUUGCACAAUGGGGGAAACCCUGAUGCAGCGACGCCGCGUGGAGGAAGAAGGUUUUCGGAUUGUAAACUCCUGUCGUUAGGGACGAUAAUGACGGUACCUAACAAGAAAGCACCGGCUAACUACGUGCCAGCAGCCGCGGUAAAACGUAGGGUGCAAGCGUUGUCCGGAAUUACUGGGUGUAAAGGGAGCGCAGGCGGACCGGCAAGUUGGAAGUGAAAUCCAUGGGCUCAACCCGUGAAUUGCUUUCAAAACUGCUGGCCUUGAGUAGUGCAGAGGUAGGUGGAAUUCCCGGUGUAGCGGUGGAAUGCGUAGAUAUCGGGAGGAACACCAGUGGCGAAGGCGACCUACUGGGCACCAACUGACGCUGAGGCUCGAAAGCAUGGGUAGCAAACAGGAUUAGAUACCCUGGUAGUCCAUGCCGUAAACGAUGAUUACUAGGUGUUGGAGGAUUGACCCCUUCAGUGCCGCAGUUAACACAAUAAGUAAUCCACCUGGGGAGUACGACCGCAAGGUUGAAACUCAAAGGAAUUGACGGGGGCCCGCACAAGCAGUGGAGUAUGUGGUUUAAUUCGAAGCAACGCGAAGAACCUUACCAGGUCUUGACAUCCGAUGCAUAGUGCAGAGAUGCAUGAAGUCCUUCGGGACAUCGAGACAGGUGGUGCAUGGUUGUCGUCAGCUCGUGUCGUGAGAUGUUGGGUUAAGUCCCGCAACGAGCGCAACCCUUAUUGCCAGUUACUACGCAAGAGGACUCUGGCGAGACUGCCGUUGACAAAACGGAGGAAGGUGGGGAUGACGUCAAAUCAUCAUGCCCUUUAUGACCUGGGCUACACACGUACUACAAUGGCGUUUAACAAAGAGAAGCAAGACCGCGAGGUGGAGUAAAACUCAGAAACAACGUCUCAGUUCAGAUUGCAGGCUGCAACUCGCCUGCAUGAAGUCGGAAUUGCUAGUAAUCGCGGAUCAGCAUGCCGCGGUGAAUACGUUCCCG